CAGUCGACGAGAUCUUCGGAUCUAGUGGCGCACGGGUGCGUAACGCGUGGGAAUCUGCCCUUGGGUUCGGAAUAACAGUUGGAAACGACUGCUAAUACCGGAUGAUGACGUAAGUCCAAAGAUUUAUCGCCCAAGGAUGAGCCCGCGUAGGAUUAGCUAGUUGGUAAGGUAAAGGCUUACCAAGGCGACGAUCCUUAGCUGGUCUGAGAGGAUGAUCAGCCACACUGGGACUGAGACACGGCCCAGACUCCUACGGGAGGCAGCAGUAGGGAAUAUUGGACAAUGGGGGCAACCCUGAUCCAGCAAUGCCGCGUGAGUGAUGAAGGCCUUAGGGUUGUAAAGCUCUUUUACCCGGGAUGAUAAUGACAGUACCGGGAGAAUAAGCCCCGGCUAACUCCGUGCCAGCAGCCGCGGUAAUACGGAGGGGGCUAGCGUUGUUCGGAAUUACUGGGCGUAAAGCGCACGUAGGCGGCGAUUUAAGUCAGAGGUGAAAGCCCGGGGCUCAACCCCGGAAUAGCCUUUGAGACUGGAUUGCUUGAACAU
Molecule: ribosomal RNA, 543 nt
Filed under: uncultured bacterium
Lineage: Bacteria
Description: bacterial SSU rRNA
Rfam family: Bacterial small subunit ribosomal RNA
Source: RNAcentral